This 506-nucleotide ribosomal RNA is filed under the name uncultured bacterium. RNAcentral describes it as "partial 16S ribosomal RNA". It matches the Rfam family "Bacterial small subunit ribosomal RNA", at positions 29 to 523 of the family's 1533-position model. The record is from RNAcentral.
AGUGAACGCUGGCGGUAGGCCUAACACAUGCAAGUCGAACGGCAGCACAGAGGAGCUUGCUCCUUGGGUGGCGAGUGGCGGACGGGUGAGGAAUACAUCGGAAUCUACUCUGUCGUGGGGGAUAACGUAGGGAAACCUACGCUAAUACCGCAUACGACCUACGGGGGAAAGCAGGGGACCUUCGGGCCUUGCGCGAUUGAAUGAGCCGAUGUCGGAUUAGCUAGUUGGCGGGGUAAAGGCCCACCAAGGCGACGAUCCGUAGCUGGUCUGAGAGGAUGAUCAGCCACACUGGAACUGAGACACGGUCCAGACUCCUACGGGAGGCAGCAGUGGGGAAUAUUGGACAAUGGGCGCAAGCCUGAUCCAGCCAUACCGCGUGGGUGAAGAAGGCCUUCGGGUUGUAAAGCCCUUUUGUUGGGAAAGAAAUCCAGCUGGCUAAUACCCGGUUGGGAUGACGGUACCGUAAGAAUAAGCACCGGCUAACUACGUGCCAGCCGCCGCAGUAA